This 1269-nucleotide long non-coding RNA is filed under the name Sus scrofa (pig). RNAcentral describes it as "lncRNA (ENSSSCG00070013242.1)". The record is from RNAcentral. Lineage: Eukaryota; Metazoa; Chordata; Mammalia; Artiodactyla; Suidae.
CCUAGAAGAAACCCGGGCUCCCAUGAAAGGCUGCCCAGCACCGCAGGAGGAAUAGAGGCUCCAAGUGGCUGCACAGUAAGUGCCUUGUCUUAUCUGAGAUAAAAGCAUAACUUCAUUUCCUCAAUUUUUCUUUUAUCCUCUCUCUCUCUCUCUCUGUCUCUCUCUGUCUCUCUCUCUCUCUCUGGUUUUGGUUUUGGUUUUGGUUUUUAAUGGCUGCACCUGCUGCACAUGGAGUUUCCCAGGCUAGGGUCUAAUCAGAACUACAGCUGCCGGCAUAUACCACAGCCACAGCAAGUCACGAUGUGAGCCGAGUCGGUGACCUACAGCACAGCGCAUGGCAACACCAGAUCCUUAACCCACUGAGCGAGUCCAGGGAUCAAACCUGCAGCCUCAUGCUUUCUAGUCAGUUUUGGUUCCGCCGUGCCACAACGGGAACUCCAAUUUCCUCCUUUUGUCUGUCAGUUUCAACUAUGCAAGUCUACACUGUUCAAAUCAGUGGAGACCUACAUUUUUCCUGGGUUGGACGAGUGUUGACGGAAUGUCUCUCCCAAUGCAUGACUGAUUGAAAAAUUGACAGCAGCCUCUAGAAACUGGAAGUGCGGCUGAGAGCAAUGUUACCAGCAGAGAAUUGCCCUCCUUGCAAGAGAAUUUGGUGGGUUUUGGUCAAAGUACACAUAAGAAUUCCUACAGGAAGAUUUGAAGCCUUUGUCCAGGAUGACCUCUGUGUUUUCUUUGGGACCGUGGACUCGAGGAGUGUUUCCCUUUUGGGUUUUGCUGGGCAGAAAGACCAUGAAAAUUCUCAUGUCCAUAGAGACCAGGAAGCUUAGAUUCUCACACUGUUUUCUUGCACUAGAUGCCGGCCGAUGACGCAACUAAUAAUAAUGGCAUGGCUUUGGAGCGCCCCACUCCAGUGACAAACAAUCGGGGUGAAGAAGAAGAAGAUUGCAUAGGAUGCUGCUUCCGGAUCCAAAGGAACAAUCGACAGACGUCACAAAGAUCCACCUCUGGCUGCAUCAGAAAAUUAUGCUCCUGGCGCCACCAGCGAGUGCACCCCGCUAAUGGGUCGGGGACAGGUACGUGAGAUUUUCUCCUUCGGUGCAUGCAAGAAUAAUUUUUCUUUAGGGUCCCCUGUAUACGAAUGAACUCGGAAGUAUUUUGUGGUAUCCUUUGUGCGUGCGUGCGUGCGUGCGUGUGUGUCCAAGUUGAAACAUACUUAGUCAGGGUGUAGUGUUUAUAUACCUGUGGAAAUAAAACGACUUUGAAAUCUCA